Lolium perenne is the source of this 4918-nucleotide long non-coding RNA. RefSeq lists it as uncharacterized. Lineage: Eukaryota; Viridiplantae; Streptophyta; Magnoliopsida; Poales; Poaceae. The record is from RefSeq and is a predicted model, not a curated record.
CGGUGGAGACGCGUCCACCCACCGACAUGUUCUCCUCAUGCCCAUCUUUUCCCCCACGCCCUUCCUCUUCUUCGCCGCCUCAUCUUUCGCCUCUGCCCUGCUGCUUCCUUAUCCUGGAAGAACCAACCGAAGAACACACGCUGCUGCUGCAAUUACUAGGGUUCAAGCGGCGGUAGGCUGCUGGCGGUCGACGUCCAGCGCGCAGUGGGUCUUCCGGCCACGCACGUGGUCGGAGGGAGUUGGGUGGCGAACUGACGACGACGCCCUCUUCAAGGAGGUCGGACGGCCAGCGGGGAGCGGAAACGACGGAGACGCCGCGUCGUUGGUGGCCAGCGGAUAUGGGCGUCCGUGUGCACGGCGGCGGGCAGGAGGAUGUCAGCGUUCGUCGGCUCCACAGGCGGGAGGGCGACAAGGGAGAUGUGGGUGAGGCACGCGGAAAUCCUUCCGAUGGCUACGAGGAUGAGGGACGGGCGGCGCUCGGAGGAUACUCUGGCGGGGAGCAGGGUCAACGGCCGCCAUGACUUUGAUGGAUCGGCUUUGGGUCAACGGCCGCGGCGGAGUGGAGGACUAGCGGCGCUGGCGGCGGGAGGGGCCGUCGUAGCGGCGGUGUCCGAUUCGAAGGGCGCAUGAUGUAUGUUGCCUGGGUCUGCAUAGGAGAGGCCAACCGCUGCUCCAAAACGAUGACGGCGGCGGCGGACGCAGAGUCGCAGACAUGAAAACAAAGGUCCAGGCAACGGUCUGCUCGACCGCAUGCUCUGCGGAAGGUCAUUCCAGCAUUGCUUGGUUGCUUGCGUACAAAAGAUGACAAGAUUGAAACAAAAGUAGUACAUGAACACUUUUAUUUGGGGGCAGAAAGGUAUCUGGUCUCUUAUCGUAUCAUAAAAACAACAAUACUGUUAUUUUUUCAGCUUAUAUAACCUUUUUUAUUUGGGUUCUUGGAGUUCAUAGUUUCUGUAUUUGCCAAGGUCAUUUCUAAAUUAUGUGUUCGCCUGUAUUGCUGAAUCAAACAUAUGUCUGUUUUAUGUAUGAAUUUAUGUGUCAGUGAAGGAAUAUUUUUUUUCUAGCAGUUCAUUUUCACAUAUUUGAACAUGAGUUUGUGGUGCCUGCUAAUUGUUUGGUCAAAAAGUUAAUUGAGCACAAAGUUCUUGCUGGUGCCUGCCAAUUGUUUUAGACAUAAAUUAAUCUGUUCAUUUUUAAACCUUUUUUGGACAUAGUUGCAACACUGGUUUCCAGAUGCUGUAACAUAGCGUGCCUUCGGAUCUUUGUAGAAAAAAGGAUUGAUGUGGAUUUAGAUGGCUUUUAAUAUGUGGAUUAGAUGGGUACAGAGUCAUGAAGGUUCAAUACUGAUUUCUGAACUUACUGGUUUCUGAAACAUGUCAUUGUAAGGUAUUAGUAAAAUAGUGGGUUCCAUGCAGAGAAACAAACAUUAUUACUCUAAGGUGAGCACGCCAGGCAGCAUCCAGUUUGUUGGCGUGACGGUUUGCCAGUUUUCAGGUCAGAUCAGCAGCGCCAAUGGAGAUGAUACCUAGGGUGAUAUGCUGUAAGGUUCAGGAUGCAACAAGGUCAGUACGAAUGAUUUUUUCCCUCCUGCAUUGUUUCGGUGGGCUAAGAUAAUGAAAAUUUUCGGCCUUUACAGAACUUCCUUUGUUCAGUAAAAAUAUAUCUGAAUUGAGGAUCAUAUUGAUUCUUUCCUGCAGUUGGAGUAUUGUUUUUAUGCAUGACAUCCAUUUAAUGGAAUGCUUAAUGAUAUGCCUAGGUGUAAUUUUUCAUCAACUGAACUAUUUUGUAGCUUCAGUUCAGUUUGAUUUUCCCCUGCGUUCAAUAACUGUAUCUUCCUGGCCAUCAGGAGUAUGGUGCUUUUGUAAGGAUUUAGGAAUGUACUAAUUAGGCGUUUAUUUAUUGCGUCCACCUUUAGUCUUUGGGCUAUAGUUCAGGAAAGACAGUUCAUCCAUUAUUUUCCUCUGAGUAUUUUGUUUUUGGGCUAUAGUUCAGGAAAGACAGUUCAUCCAUUAUUUUCCUCUGAGUAUUUUGUUUUUACCUCGCUUCCAGGAAUCCUCCCAUUCGGCAGUAUGUUUUGUUUUAACAAUUCGAAUAUUUAUUGAUCUCUCUCGCCUGCUACAGUAUGUUGGUGUCUUAUUUUCAGUUAUCUUUCAGUUUCCAGCCAGUGCUUAGUUAGUUCUUCAAAUUAAGAGGUAAGGUAGUCUUACUGCUCAAUAUUUUGGUUCUUCUCCUUGGCUCAGUUGUGUUGUGCUUGCUUAGCUCACUAGAACAUACACACGCAGAAUUCUCCCUCUCUAAGAGGAUCAAAGUAGGCAUCAUUUGAUCAUACAAUACCAUUUUACACACAAUAUGAUAGCUAUAAUUCAGUUUUGGUCAUAAUUCACAUCUAUUUUAUUGCUCUUCGGCAGCUGCCGGAACGAUUGAGUGCCGAUAAUAACACAUGGGCAGGAAGUGUAUGAGUACAUAAUAACCACAUUAAUGAUGGACUUGUGUUCCUUCUCAAGAAUGAGCCAAUGAACAAGGAGGUUCAUCAUAAAGACUGAGUGUCCUGCCCAUGGCAUAUGUUACCAAAUUUGAAAUGUGCUGUAGAUCGGGCUUCUUCCAGACGGUUGAUUUUUUAUUUCCUUUUCUUUUGCUUGCGAAUUCCAUAAUAACUGGCACCUUCCCGGUAGGCUUCUAUUAUUGUAUCCGGUUGUCUCUGGCUGUCUAUGCCGUUCGUUUCUUUUCCUUAACCUUAGCUACGGGUCUCCCGAUUUUUUCCAUUUUGUUUCUUCUUGAAAAAUAUAAAUUAGGUAGCCCAGAAUUAGUUUACUCUCGAAUUCCGAGGAUAGGGAGAUAUGUCAUGUUAGACUGUUAGAGACCAAGGUUGUUACGAAAAGAAUAUAUACGAAGUUGUCGCUGUAGAUACACAAACUUUGUUUAUUGGUUGUACAUUUGCUAUGUAUCUAGGAGGAAAUCGGUCAGGCAGAAUUAGAGCCCGAACGGUAAAAAGUUUUGGGACAUCUUUUUGUUGAAUUUAAGGUCAAUAUGCAUUUUAAGUAAUUUUGUGUGAUUAUUUGGUACAUACAUCUAACUGUGAACUUUUGCUUCCUGACUCUAUUAUUGUUCGUGAUGAAUGAUGAAAUCUGAGAAGGAGCUCGGUUUCAUAUAGUUUCAGAUCAGGUUUUUAUGAUUUAUGCACGGUUCAAAAACAUAUUAUUCUUAUCACUGAAAUUGUAUCCAAGUUUGCAUUACUGACUGCUCCAAAAUGUAGAAUAAGCAGUUGUCACAAGGAGGCUGGGAGGUAGUGCCUACCGAUUCCAGAUUUCCAGAUGUGGAUUGCUAUCCUAUUCUCAUCUAAUUAUGUAUCCCCUCUUAUAAAGUAGCUGUCUGAUUCGUAGAGAUGAAAAGAAAAUCAUGCUUUACAGAAUAGCCCUUCCCUCAGGCUAUGUGAAAUGGUCAUACAAGUAAGUACCCGAUGUGAGUUUCUGGGUCUCAAGAUAGCUUAUUAUAGUAUCAUCGUCGGCGAGUCUUCUGAUGUGAAUCCACUUCUAACUUAGGUAUUCUAGCUCUUAUUUCCCAUAUUUUUGUUUCUCAGCUUGACGUUACCAGUGUGUACCUGGAACAAGUGAGCCAAGAGCACGAGACUCACAACUAUGAAACUGUGUGUGUGUGUGUGUUAUGCUGACUGUAUGGAUACAGGUGCACGGUAGUGAAUUGCAUCAUGAUCUGGAUUGUCCUACAUGACAUGGAAACCAGUGGGCUGUGGAUGAGAUAUCUCAUGUUAGACCGUGCAAGGUCACUAUAUAGAGUAUGUAUAUAUGUCAGGUCUUAGUUUAGAGAGUUGGUAUAUGCAAGGUAUUCUGCAAGGUAGGUUGUCGGUUUAGUAGUUGCUUGCAUAUGUAUACAUCGACUAUGAAAAUCUGUUACCAUCGUUGAUUGUUGUAAGCAUGGAGUUUUGGUGCUAUUUUCAUCAAAUUUCAGACUAAAAUGACUAAUGUGGCCUCAUAAUAAUAUGCUAUUUGUGUGAAGGUUUCAGACGUGCAGUACAUGAUUUUCCUAAAGAAGCUCCUAUUGCCUUCUUCCAUAACUCUAUCCUCAAGUCUUCAGAGGUCAGUACGAUUGGUAAGUGAAAUUACCUUGGGUCCAUAGAGUUGACGAUGAAGUGCAGACUAGCCACCAUUUGGGCAUCUUGUGUCAAGUCUGUGCUAUCACUCUAACCAGCCGUGACUUCCAUCAAUUUCCGCUUGCCUCCUCUGCUUUGCUUUCCUUCUAUCGACACGCUUCUCCCUUGGCGUCCCUCCCUUUGCUCCUGCUCAUCGACCAUCUCAGGCUGGCCUGUAGCGCCCCCCGGGAUCCCUUUUUCUAGCUAAUUUUGGAUUCUCGACCAUAUUGACAGCAGGAAAUCUCCAGCGAUCUGAAGGCUUACCCAAUAGCCCAGAACUAGACCAAGGAUUCUUACAAGAGAAUAUGGGUUUGUUGCAGCGCAUUGUGAGAGUGGAAGAAACAGGAGAAGGUAGAUGCCGAGAAAAGACCAACCUGGUCUUGACGAAGUUGAGGAUAAAUUCAUUGAGGCAAACCCCUACCACGUGUAACACCACACAUGCACACAGCCACAUGUCCACCGAUUGCUCCGAUAUUGCUCCACAUAGCAAAGAGGAAAGGAGAGCUCCAUGCGCAUCCCCGCCCUCCCUAUGCCACCAACCGAGUUUCCUUUCGUCUAACGAGGAGAGCGGCAAACGACAACCUACCACGCCCCAAGGACUAAGAACCGACAAAAACGUAUAUUCAUUCUUUCCUCUAGCAUAUGUCGACAAAAAAAAUGUUUUGUGCAAACUAACUAUUGUUAUGUCCUGCUCAUAUCAGCUUACUCCAUAAAUUUUGUAAUUGAACCCUGUACUACUAAUAUCAGUUCACAGGCACGACGUGCUGAACUCGA